Molecule: long non-coding RNA, 1240 nt
Organism: Physeter macrocephalus (sperm whale)
Lineage: Eukaryota; Metazoa; Chordata; Mammalia; Artiodactyla; Physeteridae
Exons: 5
Source: RefSeq, a predicted model, not a curated record
CCCCCUACUGUUUCUGAGUCUCACACUAGCCCUGCCUCUGACCUCCCACUCCUACUCAAUGCCCUUUCCUCAAUUUCGUUUGGGAUCCACUGACCCUGUGGAGAUCCACAUGACAGAGAGUGGCAGCAGGAAAGGAACCCUGGAAGUUUCCCGGCCUGGUGAUACAGGAACCGGCCUCAUCCACACCUGCACCGUGACUGUGCUCUACAUGCUGGAAAGGAGUGGGUGAAGCCAUCCCAGCUGGAUGGCCAGCGACCUGCCAGGUGACACUUCAUGAUGCUUCAGCCACAUCUUGGAGAACAUCUAGCAAAGAAGGGACAUCAUCACCGGUGAAACAGCGUUAGACCUGACACUUUAUCAAACCAGUCCGCUUGGUGAUUGUUGGGCGAGAGUGAGGAGGCAUCACCAUGUCCACAUCUGACUCAGCUGUCUGGGUUGGGAGAAGGUCCCCUGCUGCCCAGUGCGGAUGCAUCUGUGAGGGUGAUGGACCCAAGGAGGAUUCUGCAAUGAGCCUGGCAAUCAGGAGGCCCCCUCAGCUUCAGGACACCUAAAAUCCCUGAAGAUUCCAGUACCCACUGUGUUUCCUGUGCCGCCCGCACCCCCAGUGGGAGACACUUUGAAAUCUUUUAGGACCCUGUAUUUGGAUGCUUGCCUCUUCAAGCUAUAAGGACCUUACAGUGAAGAUGGGAAACACAUUUUUACAUUCGGAUUGCCUAAGUGCAGUGGUCCUUCCAGUUCAAGACAUCAUUUGGCAUAGGGAUUUUAAUGUAAGCCUUGUCACUAACGACGUUGCCCUUCUUCAGCUGGCCGACUCUGUGAAUUAUUCUUCGUACAUCCAGCCAGUGUGCCUCCCUGAAAAGAAGUUUGAAGUGAAAGCUGGGACACAGUGUUGGGCGACUGGAUGGGGCCAAACUUUAGAAUUCGCCACAUCACUGCCACGUGUUCUUCAGGAGACUGAGCAAAUCAUUCUUCACCACAAGAAAUGUAAUCAGAAGAUACAGACACGGUUAGGAGUCCAUCGCCAAGUAGUUGGAAGAGGGAUGAUCUGUGGCUAUCACGAAAAGAUUAAAAGUCCCUGCAAGAAACCUGGGCCUGGUGGGUAUCUGGGAAAGGACCUAGGUGCCUAUCUCCCUAGUGCCUUGCUAGCAGUCAGCCUGCUCUGAUGAUGAUCCCCUUCCAUUCCUGUGUUUGUUUCUUCUUUUUCUCCACGGAAAUUCUGGAGGUCCCCUGGUCUGUCAAU